This 460-nucleotide ribosomal RNA is filed under the name uncultured bacterium. RNAcentral's name for it is "partial 16S ribosomal RNA". It matches the Rfam family "Bacterial small subunit ribosomal RNA", at positions 338 to 795 of the family's 1533-position model. The record is from RNAcentral.
CCUACGGGAGGCAGCAGUGAGGAAUAUUGGUCAAUGGGCUUACGCCUGAACCAGCCAAGUCGCGUGAGGGAAGACUGCCCUAUGGGUUGUAAACCUCUUUUGUCAGGGAGCAACGCCGGCUACGUGUAGCCGGACUGAGACUACCUGAAGAAACAGCAUCGGCUAACUCCGUGCCAGCAGCCGCGGUAAUACGGAGGAUGCGAGCGUUCUCCGGAUUUAUUGGGUUUAAAGGGUGCGUAGGCGGAAUGCCAAGUCAGCGGUAAAAUCCCGGGGCUCAACCUCGCUCCGCCGUUGAACCUGGCGUUCUUGAGUGGGCGAGAAGUAUGCGGAAUGCGUGGUGUAGCGGUGAAAUGCAUAGAUAUCACGCAGAACUCCGAUUGCGAAGGCAGCAUACCGGCGCCCAACUGACGCUGAAGCACGAAAGCGUGGGUAGCGAACAGGAUUAGAUACCCCAGUAGUC